GGGGCCCCGCGGAGUGGAGGCGGGCGGGGGCGCGCGGCGAUGGAAGACCUUUGCGGGAAUCUGUGCGGCGCACCGUAGCGCAAGGAAACCGGAACCGAGAGGUUAAGUAACUUGCCCCAGGGCACACAGCUGGGCGACUGUCAGUGCCAGAAUUCUGACCCACGCUGUCUGAUCGCCCUGGAACUUCGCCUGGCCACCCAUCUUAAAGAUGGGCAGAUUUCGGUACCUUGCCCCAAGGUCACCUUAGAUGGAAAA
Molecule: long non-coding RNA, 255 nt
Organism: Dipodomys spectabilis (banner-tailed kangaroo rat)
Lineage: Eukaryota; Metazoa; Chordata; Mammalia; Rodentia; Heteromyidae
Exons: 2
Source: RefSeq, a predicted model, not a curated record